GAUGAACGCUGGCGGCGUGCCUAAUACAUGCAAGUCGAGCGAACGGACGAGAAGCUUGCUUUUCUGAUGUUAGCGGCGGACGGGUGAGUAACACGUGGAUAACCUACCUAUAAGACUGGGAUAACUUCGGGAAACCGGAGCUAAUACCGGAUAAUAUUUUGAACCGCAUGGUUCAAAAGUGAAAGACGGUCUUGCUGUCACUUAUAGAUGGAUCCGCGCUGCAUUAGCCAGUUGGUAAGGUAACGGCUUACCAAGGCAACGAUGCAUAGCCGACCUGAGAGGUGGAUCGGCCACACUGGAACUGAGACACGGUCCAGACUCCUACGGGAGGCAGCAGUAGGGAAUCUUCCGCAAUGGGCGAAAGCCUGACGGAGCAACGCCGCGUGAGUGAUGAAGGUCUUCGGAUCGUAAAACUCUGUUAUUAGGGAAGAACAUAUGUGUAAGUAACUGUGCACAUCUUGACGGUACCUAAUCAGAAAGCCACGGCUAACUACGUG
RNAcentral lists this ribosomal RNA (497 nucleotides) under uncultured bacterium. RNAcentral's name for it is "partial 16S ribosomal RNA". It matches the Rfam family "Bacterial small subunit ribosomal RNA", at positions 28 to 507 of the family's 1533-position model. The record is from RNAcentral.